UCCGAGUUAACCCCGGCAGUCUCCCUAGAGUUCCCGGCCGAACCGCUGGCAACUAGGGACAAGGGUUGCGCUCGUUGCGGGACUUAACCCAACAUCUCACGACACGAGCUGACGACAGCCAUGCACCACCUGUCACCGACCCCCGAAGGGACCCCCCAUCUCUGAAGGAUUUCCGGCGAUGUCAAACCCAGGUAAGGUUCUUCGCGUUGCAUCGAAUUAAUCCGCAUGCUCCGCCGCUUGUGCGGGCCCCCGUCAAUUCAUUUGAGUUUUAACCUUGCGGCCGUACUCCCCAGGCGGUCUACUUAGUGCGUUAGCUGCGCCACUAAGAGCUCAAGGCUCCCAACGGCUAGUAGACAUCGUUUACGGCGUGGACUAC
Molecule: unclassified non-coding RNA, 376 nt
Filed under: uncultured bacterium
Lineage: Bacteria
Description: contains 16S-23S intergenic spacer region
Source: RNAcentral